UUCGGUGUGAAUUUUUGCCAUUAUUUGUAGUUAUUUGUUGGCGAUUUAGGGGUUGUCCGAUCUUCCUUUGCAGCUCCAAAAAGAGAGUUACAUAUAAAUGUUAAACCAAUUUGAUGAUGAGGUGUCUGCAACAGACCUGAUUGACCAUUUCAAGACCAUCCAAAGUUAGAAGGGUAUUUUUUCGAGAAGGAGACCACUGCAUUGUCCAGCCAUUGAUGGCUCGAGGGGGGGAAUUAAUUGGCAUGGGAUUUGAAGGCCGAUGCAC
RNAcentral lists this long non-coding RNA (265 nucleotides) under Elaeis guineensis (African oil palm). RNAcentral's name for it is "long non-coding RNA (EGUI_LNC024406)". Lineage: Eukaryota; Viridiplantae; Streptophyta; Magnoliopsida; Arecales; Arecaceae. The record is from RNAcentral.